RNAcentral lists this long non-coding RNA (868 nucleotides) under Phocoena sinus (vaquita). Its description in RNAcentral is "lncRNA (ENSPSNG00000015406.1)". The record is from RNAcentral. Lineage: Eukaryota; Metazoa; Chordata; Mammalia; Artiodactyla; Phocoenidae.
GCCUGCGCAGGGCGGCCCCGCGCCGGGCUCCCCGCGGAGGGGCGACCCCGGCUGGCCACGCGGUGGAGAGACGCUGCAGAGAAGCUGGGAGGGAAGCACGAACGCGCGUCUCGCCCAGGAGAGCGGUCGGCGGGCUCGGAUUGGACAUUCCCAGCGCCUCGCUGGUCCCACGGAAAUGGAGAAAUAGCUUCGGGAAGGAAGUCUGAGAUCGCGGGACAGCCGGUUUGGUUUCUUCUGAGGCCUCUCUCCUUGGCUUGCAGACAGCUGCCUUCCUCCUGUGUCUUCCCUCUGUACAGUACACGGUCUCUCACUGUUGUGGCCUCUCCCAUUGCGGAGCACAGUCUCCGGACGCACAGGCUUCAGCGGCCAUGGCUCACGGGCCUAGCCGCUCCACGGCACGUGGGAUCUUCCCGGACCGGGGCACGAACCCGUGUCGCCUGCAUCGGCAGGCGGACUCUCAACCACUGCGCCACCAGGGAAGCCCACGUGAGCUGUUCUAUAGGUACUGAAACCCCCACCAGGUGGAAGAAGUUAACUACAUGAUGACCAGACGGUAGCCAUGACAGAAGCUGCCACAAUUCUGAGAACUGGCCUCAUGGAAAUGGGAACAAACUGACCCUGGAACUGAAGAUUAACUGUACUUAAAACAAUCGAGAUGACGCUUGUCAGACCGCCAAGGACCAAUUUCAAGAUGACCGUCAGCUGACUGUGCUGUCUCUGCAUGUAGCCCCCUCCCUCCAUCUAUAAAAGCUCUUGCCCACUGCUUGUCAGUGGAGGGGAGUCGGCCUGUGGACAGGAGUCUGCCCUUCCCCUUCCCCGGACCCCGCAAUUGCCAGCCUCAGAAAUAAAGCAAACUUUCCUUUCCACC